GGGGAUUUAGCUCAGCGGCAUAAGUGUCUGCCUUGCAAGCAGGCAGUCAUGAGUUCGACCCCUGGUACCCA
Cavia porcellus (domestic guinea pig) is the source of this 71-nucleotide transfer RNA. It matches the Rfam family "tRNA". From Rfam's summary of the family: Transfer RNA (tRNA) molecules are approximately 80 nucleotides in length. The record is from Rfam. NCBI's taxonomy places the organism in Eukaryota, Metazoa, Chordata, Mammalia, Rodentia, Caviidae.